This 388-nucleotide ribosomal RNA is filed under the name uncultured bacterium. RNAcentral describes it as "bacterial SSU rRNA". It matches the Rfam family "Bacterial small subunit ribosomal RNA", at positions 28 to 417 of the family's 1533-position model. The record is from RNAcentral.
GACGAACGCUGGCGGCGUGCUUAACACAUGCAAGUCGAGCGGUAAGGCCCUUUCGGGGGUACACGAGCGGCGAACGGGUGAGUAACACGUGGGUGACCUGCCCUCAGCUCUGGGAUAAGCCUGGGAAACCGGGUCUAAUACCGGAUAUGACUCCAUGACGCAUGUUGUGGGGUGGAAAGCCUUGUGCGGCUGAGGAUGGGCCCGCGGCCUAUCAGCUUGUUGGUGGGGUGANGGCCUACCAAGGCGACGACGGGUAGCCGGCCUGAGAGGGCGACCGGCCACACUGGGACUGAGACGCGGCCCAGACUCCUACGGGAGGCAGCAGUGGGGAAUCUUGCGCAAUGGGCGAAAGCCUGACGCAGCGACGCCGCGUGAGGGAUGACGGCCU